Molecule: non-coding RNA, 27 nt
Filed under: Cricetulus griseus (Chinese hamster)
Lineage: Eukaryota; Metazoa; Chordata; Mammalia; Rodentia; Cricetidae
Source: RNAcentral
CGGAAUUCUGGGCAAGAAAUGGCAAGU